CAAUACUACUCGCCAGAGUACUACUAGCAACAGCUUAAAACUCAAAGGACUUGGCGGUGCUUUAUAUCCCUCUAGAGGAGCCUGUUCUGUAAUCGAUAAACCCCGAUAAACCUCACCAACUCUUGCUAAUACAGCCUAUAUACCGCCAUCUUCAGCAAACCCUAAAAAGGAAUCAUAGUAAGCAAAACCAUGCAACAUAAAAACGUUAGGUCAAGGUGUAGCCCAUGAGUUGGGAAGAAAUGGGCUACAUUUUCUAACAUAGAACAUAAACGAAACUUUUCGUGAAACCGAAAACGGAAGGAGGAUUUAGUAGUAAAUUAAGAAUAGAGAGCUUAAUUGAAUAAGGCCAUGAAGCACGCACACACCGCCCGUCACCCUCCUCAAGCAUCAAGAUUCAACUAACUAACCCUAUUGACAAAUGUACACACAUGUGAGAGGAGAUAAGUCGUAACAAGGUAAGCGUACUGGAAAGUGCGCUUGGACAAACCAAAGUGUAGCUUAUAUUAAAGCACCCGGCUUACACCCAGGAGAUACCACGCGACAGUGGCCGCUUUGAACAAAUGCUAGCCCACACCACACUAAACUCAACUAUAUUCUAAAAUAAAUCAAAACAUUUACCCUAAUUAAAGUAUAGGAGAUAGAAAUACUAAUUGGCGCUAUAGAAUGAAGUACCGUAAGGGAAAGAUGAAAGACUAAUAAAAAGUAUUUAACAGCAAAGCUUACCCCUUGUACCUUUUGCAUAAUGAUUUAACUAGAACUAUUUGACAAAACGAAUUUUAGCCAAACAACCCGAAACCAGACGAGCUACCCAAGAGCAGCUAAAGAGCAAACUCGUCUAUGUGGCAAAAUAGUGAGAAGACUCUUAGGUAGUGGUGAAAAACCUAUCGAGCCUGGUGAUAGCUGGUUGUCCAGAACAGAACUUCAGUUCAACUUUAAGCCAUGCCUAAAAAAUCAACAACUCAAAUGCAGACUUAAAAUAUAAUCUAAAAGGGUACAGCCUUUUAGAAACAGGAUACAACCUUAACUAGAGAGUAAGCCCUAAAAGGCCCCCAUAGUUGGCCUAAAAGCAGCCACCAAUUGAGAAAGCGUUCAAGCUCAACGACCUCAUCAAUCUUAAUUCCAAACGAGUACCCGCGAACCCCUAGCCCUAACACUGGACUAUUCUAUUACAAAAUAGAAGAAAUACUGUUAAUAUGAGUAACAAGAACUAACUUCUCCCUGCAUAAGCCUAUAUCAGAGCGGAUGUCCCACUGAUAGUUAACAACAAAAUAAACAUAACACCACAAUUAAAUCAUUUAU
RNAcentral lists this unclassified non-coding RNA (1299 nucleotides) under Rousettus spinalatus. RNAcentral's name for it is "partial contains 12S ribosomal RNA, tRNA-Val, and 16S ribosomal RNA". The stretch from base 1 to 493 matches the Rfam family "Bacterial small subunit ribosomal RNA", at positions 860 to 1533 of the family's 1533-position model. The record is from RNAcentral. Lineage: Eukaryota; Metazoa; Chordata; Mammalia; Chiroptera; Pteropodidae.